UUCGGGGGCGUUUUCUUCCCGUGUCUUAUUUUUAGCACGUGUCACAUCGAAUGUUUAGAUACUAAUUAGGAGUAGUAAACGUAGACUAUUUACAAAACCAAUUACAUAAGUGGAAUCUAAACGGCGAGACGAAUCUAUUAAGCCUAAUUAAUCCAUCAUUAGCAAAUAUUUACUGUAGCAACACAUUGUCAAAUCAUGGACUAAUUAGGCUUGAUAGAUUCGUCUCGCCGUUUAGAUUCAUCUUAUGUAAUGGGUUUUGGAAAUAGUCUACGUUUAAUACUCCUAAUUAGUAUCUAAACAUUCGAUGUGACGGGUGCUAAAGUUUAGCAAGUGGAAGAAAACAGGCCCUU
Molecule: long non-coding RNA, 350 nt
Filed under: Setaria italica (foxtail millet)
Lineage: Eukaryota; Viridiplantae; Streptophyta; Magnoliopsida; Poales; Poaceae
Description: long non-coding RNA (SITA_LNC005238)
Source: RNAcentral